RNAcentral lists this long non-coding RNA (6046 nucleotides) under Brassica napus (rape). Its description in RNAcentral is "long non-coding RNA (BNAP_LNC012615)". Lineage: Eukaryota; Viridiplantae; Streptophyta; Magnoliopsida; Brassicales; Brassicaceae. The record is from RNAcentral.
CCUGAAAAAGAAAACAUUUCAAACCUAUAUCAAGUUCGGUUUCUUCAAAUAUAAAAAAAAAACAAAACCACAUGUGUAUCAGUGUAUAUACCAAAUCUAGACGGGUUCUUGAUCAUGUCCUGGAAAAUGUCAUAAGCAUUGAUGUAGGUGAAUUUCGCAUCAGGGUGGUUGUUGUUGAGCUGAUCAACCAGAGACCGUAGCUUGCUGUUGAAGAUUUGGUUUGCUGAGUUGAUUCUUUCGUCGCAAGUCCUUCUGUCACGACUACGAGCGAGCGCGUUAGGACUACAACCGAUUGCGCCAAUUCCUAUCAAUGCAAACUUCCUAGCUCCAUAGUUGUAUAGUGCCUACACGAAGCUUGUAAUUUUAUGUUAAUUAAUUAUCUAAUGACAUAAAAACAGAGUUUCGGAUGGCAAGAUAGUUGUUUCAGGAUGACGGGUUCGUGUUCGCUACACCGGAAGGCUUCAGAAGAAUGGAAAGAUUUUUGAUGACAAAUUCAGUAAAAUGCUUAAGUGGAUUAAAAAAAACAUUAUGUGACAGGGUACUUGAUGCUUAUGUUGUUGGUUGCAAUGUGCAGGUAAUGCUACAAUGUGUAUAAGAUUCAAUUUUAGCAUUCAUGGUAUGAAACUAAUUUUGUUUUGUUUACACAUCAUUUUGUUUUGAUCCCAAUUCAAAUUUUUUCUGAAUACCAUAGACAUGCAUGUUGGUGAGAACAGAAAGAUCACGGUUCCUCUAAUAUACGGGUAAAACAAUCGCAAAUCGACCUGUUGUUUAUCCUGUUAAUGGGAAUGCUAAUAUUGUCUGAUCCAUAUAACAUACAGUUAUAACAUACUUCUUCCGUUUCGAUUUAAUUGUCGUUUUGGAAAAAAAAUUUCGUUUCAAAAUAAGUAUCAUUUUAUAGUUUCAAUGCAAAAUCAUGCGUUUUAUUAAUCUGUGUGCAUAAAACUAGAACGACAAUUAAAAUGAAACGGGAAGAGUAUUAGAUAAAUGUUACUUUUGAAAAGAAUCAUAGAAUAUAUACAACUUGAAUUAACAUAACGAAUAAACAAUGUACUUUGUCAAAAGACAUAUUUAAUAUUUUGACCGAAACUUCUUUACUUAGUAAAACGAAACAUAUUCCCCGAAAAAGAAAAGCAUAUGCUCCCUCGAUUUCAAGAACAAGGACAUGAUGAUAUAAGGAAACCCUGAAUAAAAGGGCAAAAAUUAAAGAACAGAAAGUCAAAGAAUUUGUCUGUAUGGAAAUGAAAAAAGGAUCUAAUUAGCAAACUACAAGACCAGUCAAACAUAAGAAUCUUCUUGAUAUCACACACAACAAAAUAUAUAUAAACAACAAAUAAAUAAAUAAAAUAAAAAAUCUGAAAACGCGGUUUCUACGAUUAUUGGAGUCAAAACCAGCAAUGGUGUUGGUGAGAAGCUAAAUCGAACAACAACAACAAAAAAAAAAAGCUCAAAACUUUCUUCUUCUUCCUCCUCAAUCAAACUCACGAACCCUAGACGACUUCGUAAACCAUCAUCGCCGCCUUAUUAGUCAUGGAGAAUCGUAAAGGAGGAAACUUUAGCGUACCCAGCUCCGAAGCUUUGACCACGACGCUUCGCAAUGCGAUCCAAGCUUUGGGCCGUGGUUUCGAUGUCACAUCCGAUGUGAGGCUUCUGUACUGCAAAGGAGCUCCUGGGUCGAGACUUGUUCACAUCGAAGAAGGACAAAACAGAGAUCUUGAAUUGUCCGAUGGGUUUUUUCUUCCUAAUGUCCCAGUUGAUAUCGAGUGCUCACCAGGCGAAGAAGGCAUACAAAGAAUCCCUGUUUGCACCUUCCAUGAGGUGAUUUUGUAGCUUAGGAUUCUUAAGUCUUGGUGUUCGAAAAUGAUACUCUUACAUUAAGCCCUUUAUGUCUUUAGGAUGUUGUCUGAUUUGAUAUUUGUGGAACAUAAGCCAUCCUAAUUAACCUUUGGACUUAUCUAAAUUUAGAUGUUCAAAAUGUCAUUCUUACAUUAAGCCAUGUUUUGUCUUUUGUCAUGUUGCCUGAUCUGAUAUUUGUGGAACCACUAGCUCACAGUAACCUUUGGACAUUUCCAAAUUUAGAAGCUUGGGACAAUUGGUGGAUUUGUAUUUUAAUUUUUUUUUUUUUUUUUUUGGCAGAUGGCAGCAGCUUUUAACGAGAUAUCAGGUGUCAAAGGGAACAUACCACUCGGAUGCUUUAACGCUAUGUUCAACUACACUGGCUCUUGGCAAGUAGAUGCAGCUUCCACAAAGUCUCUCGCAGUCGUUGGAUACUUUAAUCGGCUUUAUGAAGUCAAAUUAGCAAAGCUUACAUUGUUUUUGCGCAAUGAGAUCAAACGCGCCGUGCCUUCCUCAUGGGAUCCUGCUUCCUUAGCUAGGUAUAUAGUCUCUCUUCUUUAACAACACCCUGUGUCCCUUCAGUUCUCUAUCUUAUGGUUUCUUUCUCCACUUGCUUACUCCUUUGGCACAGUUUUAUCGAAAACUACGGCACUCAUAUUGUAACCUCUGUGACGAUUGGUGGAAGAGACGUGGUCUACAUCAGACAGCAUAUGUCUUCUCCUUUACCAGUAUCCGAAAUCGAUAACUACGUCAAUGACAUGAGGAAGCACAGGUUUCAAGAUGCAGAGAGUCAAUCUAUCACCGGGCCGUUGAAAUACAAAGACAAGGUUAGACUAGGCGAGAUUAUUCUUGGUAAACAGAGUUUAGUUUCAUUAUGUAGCUGAAAGAGCUCUCUCCUGUAGGAUAUUACAGUAAUAUUUAGGAGAAGAGGAGGAGACGAUCUUGAGCAAAGCCACACUAGAUGGGCUAAGACGGUACCUGCAGCUCCAGACAUUAUCAACAUGACUUUUACUCCUAUUGUCUCUCUCCUCGAAGGUGUGCCUGGUCUAAGGCAUUUAACCCGUGCUAUCGAGCUUUAUCUGGAAUGUGAGUUUCUAUUUUUUUUUUUUAAAAGAAAACAUCUUUAUAUUUGAAUCUACAUUUUUAGCAUUCUUACAAACAUACAAAUCUGUUUACCAGAUAAGCCUCCUAUCGAAGAUUUACAGUACUUCUUGGACUUCCAAAUAGCUAGAGCAUGGGCUCCUGAGCAGAGUAACCUCCAACGUAAAGAACCUGUGUGUGAAUCUCUUCAGUUCAGCUUAAUGGGUCCCAAACUAUUCGUCAGCGCUGAUCAGGUAAACACAGAGCAGAAGAUUCUUCCGGUUUGGUUUAUCGUUAGGUUUAGGCUUAGGCAUUCAGAUAUUCGUUUUAAUUCAGUUAUUUCUGGUAUGAAGUAGUUCGGGUAGGGGAGUUUAGGAUCCAUUUAAAAUCCAAGGAAGGAGGUAGUCUUUGGUUCGGUUUAGUUCCAGUUUGGUUUUGUUAUAGAUAUUUGGUUAUGUUAUACUCUCUGUGUUCCAAAAUAAAUGAUGUUUGAAGAGUUUUUGUUGUUUCAUAAACAUGAUGUUUUGAUAUUUUAAUAUUAAUUUUAUUUUAUUGAAAACAGUGUGAUCAAUGAUUUUAAUAAUUUUUUGAUGAUUGGCUAAGUUAGUUUUAGUUUAUAUAUUUAAUGCUAUUUUUUAGGAAAAAGUGUGUAUAAAAAUUAUAUUUCAUAAAUUUGGAUAUUCAUUCUAUUAUUGAUUCGGUUUUGGUUCCAUUUAAAUAUUUUGAAUAUAGAAAUAUAGGAGACGUUUGGGUAUUUAUGAGAUUGGAUCCGGUUUUGGUUUUUCGAUCUGGUAUUGUUUAUAUAAACUGAACAUAUUGAUUGCCUUUUGGGUAUUUUCAGGUAACGGUUGGGCGUAAACCGGUCACGGGUCUCAGGCUAAGCUUAGAAGGAAGCAAACAAAACCGUCUCUCUAUCCAUCUACAACACUUAGUCUCUCUCCCCAAAAUCUUGCAGCCACAUUGGGACUCUCACGUGCCUAUAGGUGCACCGAAAUGGCAAGGGCCAGAAGAGCAAGACAGCCGCUGGUUUGAGCCUAUCAAAUGGAAGAACUUCUCUCACGUGAGCACCUCGCCGAUCGAGCACACGGAGACGCACAUCGGCGAUCUUUCCGGCGUUCACAUUGUCACGGGAGCUCAGCUCGGUGUGUGGAACUUCGGAUCGAAGAACGUUUUGCAUUUGAAACUACUUUUCUCUAAAGUCCCUGGUUGCACAAUAAGACGGUCUGUUUGGGACCACACGCCGGUUGCUUCCACCGGGAGGCUCGAACAGGGAGGUGCGUCUACAUCGAGUAGUUCGUCUGAGGAGAAGAGAGAAGACUUGUCGGGGCAGGCAGGGAAGCUGGCUAAGAUUGUGGACUCGUCUGAGAUGUUGAAAGGGCCACAAGAUUUGCCUGGACAUUGGCUUGUGACUGGAGCAAAGCUAGGCGUUGAAAAGGGUAAGAUUGUGUUGCGUGUGAAGUAUUCGUUGCUUAAUUAUUGAGAGGUUUUAGAAGAUGAGAUCAUGUUUUUCCGACAGCAUUCUUUGCACAGCGAAUCUUUCUUGUACAUGGUUUCGUAAGCAAGCAACCGCUCGGUUGGGUUCGGUUUGGUUCGACUUUUAGAGUGCUUUGGUUUUGUAUUGGUUGACUAUUAAGUUUUGGUCCGGUUUGGUUAUGUAGACGACUUUUAUUAUCAAGUCGGAGAUGUAAAUUUUUGUGUGAUUCACUUUUCCACACAUGGUGGAUGUAAGGACGUUUCAUGUCACGUUUCUGUGAAAUUUGCAUGCCAUUUUAUCGUUUAAAUCAAUUAAUCAUUACAAAAGAAAAUCAAAGAUGGUUUCGAGCUGGUACGAAGAUCAGGUGACUCUUGAAGAUCCGGUGAUGGUUUCGACAUGCUGGAAUGACAAUCAUGCAGAGGUUACCAGUGAAACAAAUGAACAUUCAUGUCUCAGCAUUUUCAAUUUAUGUUGGAUCAGGGCCGGAUCUGAGAUUCACUAGGUCCACCUAAUCAACGAAGAGUUUCUCCAAUAUGCACUCCCAUGCUUAUAACUUAUGAUGUUAAGUCAGGUUUGUGGGCUUACCCACGAUUGCCUGAGGGCUGAGGCCCUGAGCUUGUAGCUGCUCCUGAGCUCAAGUAACAUAACCAAAACGUACGGGAGAUUUUGGUGCACCUGGAGAUAGAUUGAGGUAUGUCUCUGUACCAAAAUAUCCCCCAUAAACCAGACCAAUUCAAUGUAAACGGUUCCUAAAAGUUAGUAUACCAACUAAUCAUAUGGUUUAACAAUUAGUAGUAAUUUAAAAUCAGACAUCAAUAAGAAUCACAAAAAUUUAUAGUGGUGAAAUUGGGUUCGAUUUUUUCCGGGUUAGUUUGGUUUUGCACAAUCAUUGGUCCAUGUGUUUCUUUAGGUGACAAGUUACUGGAAGCAACAUGUUAAGUGUGUUCUACUUUAUAUCGUGACUAUAAUAGCAAUUCCUAUGAACAAUGUGUAUGAAUAUAUAUAGAAAUGGUUGAUUUUCAAAUUUAUGCCAAAAAUAUAACAUAUGAAAUGACAAUACACGAGAAGAUACACACAUUAGUUUGUGGAACUUCUUUUAGUUUCUUUUUUAUUUUUCUCAUCAGUUUUCUUCAAAGCCGUGCCAGCCCUGAGAUAUCCAUAGGGUAAGCAUCUGAAGGCGACUCUGCCUUGUACGAUCUCCUUGCGAUAACAAUGUUUGCAGCUUCAGUUGGGUGAAACGCGUCCCAGAACACGUACGCGUUUCUGUCUCUACAUGGUCUUUGUCCCGGUAAACAUGUGAUCUGACCAGCAUUUCUCCCGAUACCACAGCAUCCUGCGUUCGUCACUCUAAACCCUGAAAAAGAAAACAUUUCAAACCUAUAUCAAGUUCGGUUUCUUCAAAUAUAAAAAAAAAACAAAACCACAUGUGUAUCAGUGUAUAUACCAAAUCUAGACGGGUUCUUGAUCAUGUCCUGGAAAAUGUCAUAAGCAUUGAUGUAGGUGAAUUUCGCAUCAGGGUGGUUGUUGUUGAGCUGAUCAACCAGAGACCGUAGCUUGCUGUUGAAGAUUUGGUUUGCUGAGUUGAUUCUUUCGUCGCAAGUCCUUCUGUCACGACUACGAGCGAGCGCGUUAGGACUACAACCGAUUGCGCCAAUUCCU